AUAUAAUUAAAUCAAGAUGUGCAUGUGUGAUGGAGUAAAUGAUAGUGAUGGUGAAAAUGCAUAAGUGAUAAAAUUUAGUUCUCAUUGCUCCUCAUAUUGCUAUGUCUCCUCCUCUUCUUUGAUCUUUGCUUUGGGAGAACAUGGGCUAUCUCUUUUUCUCUUUUUUUUCAGGUGGGUAGUAGAUACCCCUAAUUCUACUGUCGGACACUUGUCCAUUUUUUCCGCUCAAGUGGGCAUCUUUGUACCCCUAAUUCUACUUCGGACACUUGUCCAUUUUUACCUCUCGUCUCACUCUUUUUCUUUCUUUUCCGAGGUUCCGGGCACUUGCCCCUUUUUAUUUCCUCGCAUAUUUUUGCAUAACCCAUGCCUCUUCUACAUUGAAUCUUUUUAGAGAGAGAGAAUAACAGUACUUGGGACAGUGAGUGAUAAUAUUUUUUAGCAAUUUUAAUGAUGAAUGCUGUGGUAGAUGCGUGCAAGUGAAUAUCUUAAUUUAACCACAUGAAAAGCUUCCUAAGGGUCAACACAGCUCGAUCAAACUCAAUGUAAAUAUAGUAAAAGAUGUUAUAGCAAGUAUGGCUGUGGUAGGUAGUUUUGUUAUGCUAGGAACUCAUCAUGUGACUUGUAAGUUUUCAAAAUAAAUCUCCAGAACUUAGUGUAGUAGGAACAAGAUAAACAGUAGCUCAACUUUAUAUCAUGCCUUUCUCUUACCUAG
RNAcentral lists this long non-coding RNA (712 nucleotides) under Sorghum bicolor (sorghum). RNAcentral's name for it is "long non-coding RNA (SBIC_LNC000945)". The record is from RNAcentral. Lineage: Eukaryota; Viridiplantae; Streptophyta; Magnoliopsida; Poales; Poaceae.